GAUGAACGCUGGCGGCGUGCCUAAUACAUGCAAGUCGAGCGAACAGACGAGGAGCUUGCUCCUCUGACGUUAGCGGCGGACGGGUGAGUAACACGUGGAUAACCUACCUAUAAGACUGGGAUAACUUCGGGAAACCGGAGCUAAUACCGGAUAAUAUAUUGAACCGCAUGGUUCAAUAGUGAAAGACGGUUUUGCUGUCACUUAUAGAUGGAUCCGCGCCGCAUUAGCUAGUUGGUAAGGUAACGGCUUACCAAGGCGACGAUGCGUAGCCGACCUGAGAGGGUGAACGGCCACACCUGAACUGAGAAACGGUCCAGGCUCCUACGGGAGGCAGCCGUAGGGAAUCCUCCGCAAUGGGCGAAAGCCUGACGGAGCAGCGCCGCGUGAGUGAUGAAGGUCUUCGGAUCGUAAAACUCUGUUAUUAGGGAAGAACAAAUGUGUAAGUAACUAUGCACGUCUUGACGGUACCUAAUCAGAAAGCCACGGCUAACUACGUG
This 497-nucleotide ribosomal RNA is filed under the name uncultured bacterium. Its description in RNAcentral is "partial 16S ribosomal RNA". It matches the Rfam family "Bacterial small subunit ribosomal RNA", at positions 28 to 507 of the family's 1533-position model. The record is from RNAcentral.